GAAACAGUAGUUUAACUGGAAAAACAUUCCCUUCACCGGAAGGUUGCAGGUUCGGGCCCUGUCUGUUUCU
RNAcentral lists this transfer RNA (70 nucleotides) under Chryseobacterium shigense. RNAcentral's name for it is "tRNA_Met_CAT". RNAcentral also lists the same sequence under 4 other names. The record is from RNAcentral. Lineage: Bacteria; Pseudomonadati; Bacteroidota; Flavobacteriia; Flavobacteriales; Weeksellaceae.